UAAAAACAUGGCUUUUUGAUUAUAAUUUAAGGUCGGACCUGCCCAAUGAGGAUUUUAAUGGCCGCAGUAUUUUGACUGUGCAAAGGUAGCAUAAUCAUUAGUUUCUUAAUUAGAAGCUGGAAUGAAUGGUUUAAUGAGAAAUUAACUGUCUCUGAUUAAAUGAAUUAUAAUUUGAAUUUUAAGUGAGAAUGCUUAAAUUUUUUAAAAAGACGAGAAGACCCUAUAGAGUUUUAUUUUCUAAGUUUUUAUUGGUUUUGAAGUUUUCUUUUUCUUAUUUGCUUGGAAAAUUUUGUUGGGGUGAUAGGAAAAUUGAUUUAACUUUUUUUUUGUUUUUACACUGAUUAGUGAAUUGUUGAUCCUGAAUUUUGGAUUAAAAGAUUAAAUUACCUUAGGGAUAACAGCGUAAUUUUUUUUGAAAGUUCACAUUUACAGAAAAGUUUGCGACCUCGAUGUUGGAUUAAAAUUAAUUUUCGGUGUAGAAGCUGAAAUAUUGGGUCUGUUCGACCUUUGAAAUUUUACAUGAUCU
RNAcentral lists this ribosomal RNA (526 nucleotides) under Tribolium castaneum (red flour beetle). RNAcentral describes it as "partial 16S ribosomal RNA". It matches the Rfam family "Bacterial large subunit ribosomal RNA", at positions 1808 to 2606 of the family's 2925-position model. The record is from RNAcentral. Lineage: Eukaryota; Metazoa; Arthropoda; Insecta; Coleoptera; Tenebrionidae.